GAUGAACGCUGGCGGCGUGCUUAACACAUGCAAGUCGAACGAAACACCUUAUUUGAUUUUCUUCGGAACUGAAGAUUUGGUGAUUGAGUGGCGGACGGGUGAGUAACGCGUGGGUAACCUGCCCUGUACAGGGGGAUAACAGUCAGACAUGACUGCUAAUACCGCAUAAGACCACAGCACCGCAUUGUGCAGGGGUAAAAACUCCGGUGGUACAGGAUGGACCCGCGUCUGAUUAGCUGGUUGGUGAGGUAACGGCUCACCAAGGCGACGAUCAGUAGCCGGCUUGAGAGAGUGAACGGCCACAGUGGGACUGAGACACGGCCCAAACUCCUACGGGAGGCAGCAGUGGGGAAUAUUGCACAAUGGGGGAAAGCCUGAUGCAGCGACGCCGCGUGAGUGAAGAAGUACUUAGGUAUGUAAAGCUCUAUCAGCAGGGAAGAAAAUGACGGUACCUGAAGAAGAAGCCCCGGCUAACUACGUG
RNAcentral lists this ribosomal RNA (481 nucleotides) under uncultured bacterium. RNAcentral describes it as "partial 16S ribosomal RNA". It matches the Rfam family "Bacterial small subunit ribosomal RNA", at positions 28 to 507 of the family's 1533-position model. The record is from RNAcentral.